Molecule: ribosomal RNA, 433 nt
Filed under: uncultured bacterium
Lineage: Bacteria
Description: partial 16S ribosomal RNA
Rfam family: Bacterial small subunit ribosomal RNA
Source: RNAcentral
AACGAACGCUGGCGGCAUGCCUAACACAUGCAAGUCGAACGAGACCUUCGGGUCUAGUUGCGCACGGGUGCGUAACACGUGGGAACCUGCCCGUAGGUUCGGAAUAACUCCCCGAAAGGGGUGCUAAUACCGGUUAAUGUCUUCGGACCUAGGAUUUAUCGCCUUUGGAUGGGCCCGCGUUGGAUUCGCUAGUUGGUAGUGUAAAAGCCUACCAAGGCGACGUUCCAUAGCUGGUCUGAGAGGAUGAUCAGCCACACUGGGACUGAGACACGGCCCAGAAUCGUACGGAAGGCUGCAGUGGGGAAUACUGGACGAUGGGCGCAAGCCUGAUACAGCAAUGCCGCGUAAGUGAGGAAGGCCUUAGGGUUGUAAAGCUCUUUUACACGGGAUGAUAAUGACAGUACCGGGAGAAGAAGCGCCGGCUAACUCCGUG